AGAGUUUGAUCAUGGCUCAGAUUGAACGCUGGCGGCAUGCUUAAUACAUGCAAGUCGAACGGUAACAGAUUCUUCGGAAUGCUGACGAGUGGCGGACGGGUGAGUAAUACAUAGGAAUCUGCCCAUGUAGUGGGGGACAACUUGGGGAAACUCAAGCUAAUACCGCAUAAUUCCUACGGGAUAAAGAGGGCCACUGCUUGCAAGCUCUUGCUACUGGAUGAGCCUAUGUCGGAUUAGUUAGUUGGUAAGGUAAUGGCUUACCAAGACAGCGAUCCGUAGCUGGUUUGAGAGGAUGAUCAGCCACACUGGGACUGAGACACGGCCCAGACUCCUACGGGAGGCAGCAGUAGGGAGUAUUGGACAAUGGGCGCAAGCCUGAUCCAGCAAUACCGCGUGUGUGAAGAAGGCCUGCGGGCGCAUCACUUUCAAUUGGGAAGAAGGAUUAUGAGUUAAUCCUUAUAAUAUGACG
Molecule: ribosomal RNA, 469 nt
Filed under: uncultured bacterium
Lineage: Bacteria
Description: bacterial SSU rRNA
Rfam family: Bacterial small subunit ribosomal RNA
Source: RNAcentral